This 452-nucleotide ribosomal RNA is filed under the name uncultured bacterium. RNAcentral describes it as "bacterial SSU rRNA". It matches the Rfam family "Bacterial small subunit ribosomal RNA", at positions 29 to 521 of the family's 1533-position model. The record is from RNAcentral.
AACGAACGCUGGCGGCAGGCCUAACACAUGCAAGUCGAACGGAUGUAGCAAUACAUUAGUGGCGCACGGGUGAGUAACGCGUGGGAACGUGCCCUUGGGUGCGGAAUAACACAGGGAAACUUGUGCUAAUACCGCAUAAUAUCUUCGGAUCAAAGAUUUAUCGCCCAAGGAUCGGCCCGCGUCUGAUUAGGUAGUUGGUGAGGUAAUGGCUCACCAAGCCUACGAUCAGUAGCUGGUCUGAGAGGAUGAUCAGCCACACUGGGACUGAGACACGGCCCAGACUCCUACGGAGGCAGCAGUGAGGAAUAUUGGACAAUGGGCGAAAGCCUGAUCCAACCAUGCCGCGUGAGUGAUGAAGGCCUUCGGGUUGUUAAGACUCUUUCGACGGGGAAGGAUAAUGACCGUACCGUAGUAAGAAGCCACGGCUAAAUUACGUGUCCAGCAGCCGCGGU